AAAUAGGAGGAGUUCUCAGCCCCAUCUAUGGUGCGCCAAGGAUAUAGCGCUCCCUUCUGAGACAUUACCGCUGCUCGCUCCCUCGCCUUAUCUAACGUGGCAUAACGAAACUCGAGCAGCUUCCGGCUAAUUUCCGGCUGUGUAAACGUAAAGAAGGGUAUCAUGUACAUCUCGGUAUCCCAGAAAUAGUGACCUUCGUAUCCUUCACCCGUCAGGCCUUUGGCUCCGAUGUUCGUAACCCCGUCACGUCCUACGGAUUGCAGCAAUUGAAAAGCAUUAAAGCGAAUACCCUGUUGAAGCGCAGGAUCGCCCUGAAUCUCCACAUCGGUAUGUGCCCAGAAAUGAUCCAAAUAAGCCCGUUGUUCAUAAACAAGAGCUUCAAAUCCACUAUUCUCCGCUAAAUGCAGCACUUCCAAGCACUUACUUAACAGCUCGUCUUCUAUGUAAUCCUUAGAGGUGUGAUACGAAAUGUAUUUGGUCAGGGAGAUCCUUUCCCCCAUAGCCACUGGAACAACCCAUUGCAUAGAUAAUCGCUGGCCCUCUAGCUGCACGAGUCUUUCAUAUCCAGAGCUACUGUCCAGACUGUGGCUUAUCCCUGUUAAAAGAGCAAACUGGGUAUACCGUGUCCGCUGCUUCAUCCACAAAAAGGACUGCUCCAGUUCAUGACCGGUAUCCACGAGCAGCAAACUGGGUUCCUUACUCCCCGAACCAAGCCGGGGGUCAUCCGUCACCCCCGGCCUUUGAAUCUCACCAUCAAUCGAUGAAGUGAAUGUUAGGUGCCCCUCAAAAUUCAAUGCCUUGACCUCGUAAUCUAUGGCCGCUAAAUGUUUAUGCUGCAAGGCCACCAUCCGCCGAAUGCUCACCUGUACCCUGUG
Molecule: ribosomal RNA, 875 nt
Filed under: uncultured archaeon
Lineage: Archaea
Description: partial 16S ribosomal RNA
Source: RNAcentral